This 376-nucleotide ribosomal RNA is filed under the name uncultured organism. RNAcentral's name for it is "partial 16S ribosomal RNA". It matches the Rfam family "Bacterial small subunit ribosomal RNA", at positions 527 to 897 of the family's 1533-position model. The record is from RNAcentral.
GUAGGUGGCAAGCGUUGUCCGGGAAUUAUUGGGCGUAAAGCGCGCGCAGGCGGUCCUUUAAGUCUGAUGUGAAAGCCCACGGGCUCAACCGUGGAGGGUCAUUGGAAAACUGGGGGACUUGAGUACAGAAGAGGAAAGCGGAAUUCCAAGUGUAGCGGUGAAAUGCGUAGAGAUUUGGAGGAACACCAGUGGCGAAGGCGGCUUUCUGGUCUGUAACUGACGCUGAGGCGCGAAAGCGUGGGGAGCAAACAGGAUUAGAUACCCUGGUAGUCCACGCUGUAAACGAUGAGUGCUAAGUGUUAGGGGGUUUCCGCCCCUUAGUGCUGCAGCUAACGCAUUAAGCACUCCGCCUGGGGAGUACGGCCGCAAAGGCUGA